AAUAAUAACAAUGAAUUAAAAUACAAAAUCAAUGAUGCCAUACAAUAGUAUUAAUAAUAUCAAAAUAAUUAAUUUAAUGAUAAAAUAACUAAAACAACAAAUAGAGGAUUAAAUUAGAAACUAAACUAAAAUUUGGGGUCAAAUAAAAAUAACUUAAAGAGGGUGACUCGGGACUAAAACAAAAUGCGCUGAAGGAGCAAGGGACUUCCAGGGAAAUAUUCCCUAGUCCUGAAACGCAGCACUUCAGCAAGGAUUAAAAUGAAAUCAGAAAAAAAUUUAUGGGCCAAAAUGAAAGAAACAAAAGGGACAAAUUGCACUGAACUAUAAAAGAGGAGGGGCUGAACGCGCAAAUAGCCCCUCCAGGCAUAACACGCGGAUCCUGACCGCAUUCGGGUCGGGUCUCGGAUCGGCUCCUGGGUUUUAUGCCAAACGGUGCUGUUUUGGCCAUGGAUGCUAAGGUCCAAAACGUCGCCGUUUUUAAACUAUAUAAACACUCAAAAAAUCAACAAAAAAAAAAUUCAUCCCUUAUUUUUUUCAAAAAAACUGAGAGUCUCCCUAACUCUCUCUCAACCCCCAUCCCUCAUAUUCGGCCGACGACCUUCUUAGGCCUCCGUCGCGCCACCUCGUAGCCGGAGGUCGGCGCCGGAAAUGAAAGGCCAUUAAACCCCUUUUGUGGAGUCCUUGAGAGCCAGGCUCUCUCAACCCGCGAGGAGUGAAACAAAAGGGGGACCCUCGACCUUGGCAGACCCGACUCAACGAUGGAGGAGAGAGCCUCUGGCGGCACAGUCACGGCCAACUCCAGUGUCAGAGGCUGACGGUCGGUGAUAGGCGAGUAACGGCCUGCGUGAGGAGUGGCAGAGGAGGCAGAACAUGCGGCGCUGGGCAUUGGGCAGAGGCGUGCGGCGCUUUGGGGUUUGCUCUUGGCUGAAAUUGUUUAAGUUGUGGGGCAGUCGAGCCACUAGGGUUUUUUUUUAUUGGGACGUUUGGGCCAUUGUAAUUUUGGGUUUAAGUUUGCUGUAAAUGGACUGGAAUAGUUUUUAUUUUUUAGGCCCGGGCCAAAAUUGGGCCUUACAAAGUCGAUAUGACAUUACACAAAUGAUAAUAUGUUUGUCACACCAAAUUUUAGAGAUAGCAGAACUUAAUGAAUUUAACAAAUAUCGUUUACGGUGA
This is a long non-coding RNA of Gossypium raimondii (Peruvian cotton), 1170 nucleotides long. RefSeq lists it as uncharacterized. The record is from RefSeq and is a predicted model, not a curated record. The transcript is spliced from 2 exons. Lineage: Eukaryota; Viridiplantae; Streptophyta; Magnoliopsida; Malvales; Malvaceae.